RNAcentral lists this ribosomal RNA (597 nucleotides) under Penicillium chrysogenum. Its description in RNAcentral is "eukaryotic LSU rRNA". The stretch from base 235 to 387 matches the Rfam family "5.8S ribosomal RNA". Lineage: Eukaryota; Fungi; Ascomycota; Eurotiomycetes; Eurotiales; Aspergillaceae. The record is from RNAcentral.
UAGAGGAAGUAAAAGUCGUAACAAGGUUUCCGUAGGUGAACCUGCGGAAGGAUCAUUACCGAGUGAGGGCCCUCUGGGUCCAACCUCCCACCCGUGUUUAUUUUACCUUGUUGCUUCGGCGGGCCCGCCUUAACUGGCCGCCGGGGGGCUUACGCCCCCGGGCCCGCGCCCGCCGAAGACACCCUCGAACUCUGUCUGAAGAUUGUAGUCUGAGUGAAAAUAUAAAUUAUUUAAAACUUUCAACAACGGAUCUCUUGGUUCCGGCAUCGAUGAAGAACGCAGCGAAAUGCGAUACGUAAUGUGAAUUGCAAAUUCAGUGAAUCAUCGAGUCUUUGAACGCACAUUGCGCCCCCUGGUAUUCCGGGGGGCAUGCCUGUCCGAGCGUCAUUUCUGCCCUCAAGCACGGCUUGUGUGUUGGGCCCCGUCCUCCGAUCCCGGGGGACGGGCCCGAAAGGCAGCGGCGGCACCGCGUCCGGUCCUCGAGCGUAUGGGGCUUUGUCACCCGCUCUGUAGGCCCGGCCGGCGCUUGCCGAUCAACCCAAAUUUUUAUCCAGGUUGACCUCGGAUCAGGUAGGGAUACCCGCUGAACUUAAGCAU